AAAAACUAUUGCCGUAUAAACACCUGACAGGGAGCGCUGGUCACACCCUUAACACCAGCUCUAAGACGAGAUGUUACAACAAAAUGUUUGGAAAUUGAACUGCUCCAUAACAGCUGAAAAUGAUAAUGGGCGUAUGGAACAAAAGCUCCCACCAACACUACCACCAGUGUGGCAUGAUCAUCACUGCCACCACCACUACUAGCACCACCACCUAUGGCAAGGUGAGUUAACAACCCUUGGGAAAUUGAACAGCACCAUCACAGCUGGAAAUGAUCACUGCAGGCUGAGACAAACAGCUGCCAUUGUAGAACUUAAUUCCAAUAAACACUAUAGCACCACCACCACCACUCCCACAUAUGGCAAGAUGAGUAACGACUAAACCCUUGAGAAAUUAACAACUGGAUCAUGGAAACACUACUGUUACAGUAGGGCAGCAGUGGCCAGCACAUGGCCAUCCAGGGUAGCAGCAGCAGUGGCCAGCACAUGGCAGUCUAGGGUAGCAGCAGCAGUGGCCAGCCCAGGACAGUGUCCAGGGCAGCAGCAGACAG
Molecule: long non-coding RNA, 548 nt
Organism: Homarus americanus (American lobster)
Lineage: Eukaryota; Metazoa; Arthropoda; Malacostraca; Decapoda; Nephropidae
Exons: 5
Source: RefSeq, a predicted model, not a curated record